CUAGGUGGCAGUGUCUGAUUACAUCUGGAAGGACCACGCCAGCAAGCCUGGUGUCUCCAGCUGUGACCUCCAGCGCCAGGAUGAACGCCCUGACUCUGCAGCUCCCUGGAGAGGUAGCACCACCGUUCGCAUCUCCGUCUACACCGUUCACCUCAGCGGCUUCCAGGAGCUCUACAGGCAAUUCCUCAGGCUACCUGAUGGGGCUAUCGUUGAGGCAUUUGGCGAUAUUACUGGAGAAAGUCUUUUGUGUAAUGAAAUGAGCACAGCCCAGGAGCGCAGAAGCGAAAUGGACAGCGUGCUGCAUACAUCUUCACGUAUCGAGCUGAGAGAGAGGAAAAAGAGUACGGCAAGGUGGAAAGGAAAUGACGUUGUCUCCGACAAGAGCUAAUUCCUGCAGUAAUGCAUAGUCCACAGAGUUGUUUACAUCCUGAUCCACACCCAUGGUAUGGUUACUGUCUGACAGGAUUUAUGGUUGUGAUGUCCACACCUCUGUGCGUACAGUGUUGUCCUGCAAAUGCUCCAUUCAUAGGUCUUCUGUGGCUUCAACAAGCUUUUCAGUGCGGUGAGCUCACUGGAUCAGAUCACAGAUCGGAUCAAGCAAAUAUAAUUAUUCCAUAAGAUUUUUUUUUCCUUCCAAAUAGUGGGACAUUCUUAGAUUUCUCAGGUUUGCUUUUUCCUGCUUUUCCAGGUUUGCUUUUACCUGCUGGUGGUGGGGAAAAAGUUGCUGAUUUGUCUUUCAAGUUUCAUGACUAAAAUGUUGACAAUGUUUUCAGUAAUUGUUCAAAGCACAACACUAUUGUAAUUGCAAGGCUGCAAAGAUGCCCAGAAGAGGAACAAUGAUGGCUUCAUGCCACCAGUUUUGUAGCCAAGUCCCAACAGGCCGCAAAAUUUACAAGAUCCCAGAGAGGAUCAUUUUGCUGAGAUCUUAACGUUGGUCCGACCUGCUUCCCUGGGAGCUACAGCUUAAAGCAACCUGGAGGUUAUCCUCGUGCUUUCUUAGGAGUAUUAAAGUAUUGCUCAUUAGUUUGAACCAGUCCUAUUCUAUUUGGCUAUUCUAUUCUAUCUGGUGCCUAUUCUAUUUGGCUUCAUACAAAUGCAUAGGAACUGAAGUCCAUGCCCCAAAGGCAAGGACUACAAGAGACAACAUAAGGAGAAAGUGGGAAGGGGAACAAAGGCAAGAAAGGUGAAGUCAUUUGUCCAAGAUCACCAAAGUCAGAGGCAAAUGCAGAAAUGAAGGGCAUACUGCCAGCGCCCUGACUCUUGGUCUUCCCUGUAUUAGGAUUCUUUUUGUCCUGAAAAUGCAGAUGAAAAAGGGAAAAGUCUUACCUUCCUGGUAUUUUGAAUCAUUCAUGUAGAACACUUGUAACCAAUUAACAGUAAUCAGUGGCAUUUUUCUAAUACAUAUGCUUUUCUGGUGUCCCUUUGUUCACACUGGUACAGUAAAACUUUUUCAGAUGCAUUUACCUUUGCAAGACCUUUCCCAGUGUCUGAACAUUGUUGAUUGAUUUCGAUAGUUGAAUCUAUGGUUCUCAUCCAUCUGAAUAAUUGUUAAAUGACAUUAGGUAGUAACCUGGAGGUUUAGAUAUCACUCCUUAAAAAAGUUUUUCUUUGGGUUUGCAAGAUAACUAUUUGGUCUCCACUUUUCUUUUAAUCGAUUUAUAUGUAUGUGCAUAUGGGUGCGUUUGUAUGUGUUUUACCCAGAAAGAAAGGGUGUUAAAAAUCUUCUGAAUAUCUACAAGAAGUGAUGUGAUUUCCGUGGGUUCUAUUGCAUCAGAUAUUACUUGGAUGACUUCUCGAUGUCAUAACAGGAAUAAAAUUGCCUUUUUAAUGUUUGCUUUGCCUGUUGACACUUUAAACUAUUGUACUUAAUAUUGAAAAAGAAACUAACUGAAGAGAAACUGUCCAGUCCCAGAAUUUUUCUGUGGAUUUUUUCUACCUGAGUGGAGUUGCACUUUUCACAGAUUACCCCAGCAUCUGGGGUAAUGCCCACAACGAGUGAAGACCACUAAGAUUGCUUGUGUACAUGGCUUUCCUCUGCUAUGUGUUAUGGUGGUGAUCUGUAACUUACUGCAGCUUAUGGAUAACAGUACCAAGAAGACAGCGUGCUGUGGGCAGCAUCAUCCCUUGCGCGUCUUCUUGGCCUCAGUGUUAUCUUUGAAUGUGACUGAAUGUGGUGGUAAAAAUUCCUUUGGGCAAUAUUAUAUCCUAGAUUUCCCACCACUGAGUUAACACAUCCCAGUCUGGUUCUGUGAGAUUUUGACUUCAGUGUUGGUAACAUGCUAUUAUUUAGCACGAUGACAAGACUGACUUUACAUGUGGAGCCACCACACCUUCAGUUCUGAUAGAAACAUGCUGAUUUGUUAACAAAUGUGGAUCUGGUCCUGAGACUUUGUUCAGGAUGAAGGACUUGAUUCACCACUUUUAUUGCCUCAGUUACAUUACCAUGUCUCCACUGACUUUCAUCUCACCUGGGAUAUGCAAUUCUGCAACAGUACAUAUCCUUGAAAGCUGAAUUUAAAGUGCGCUUAAAUAUUAAGUAAAUUAAUCUUACAUUUUUGUUGCAAAUGUACAAUCCUACCUAUUAAUUUUGGUUAUUGCAUUGUGUGAGUUACCAUGGUUGUUGGUCAGUAUACACUGGGUGGCAUUGGCUUUGAAAUUGUUUUCUGAAGUGCUCUUAUAAGCAACAUCAUCCAUAAUGCUCAGUUAUAGUUGGAUAGUAAUUGCCUGUCUAUGCAGUGUUCCUUUACAACAAUUUUCUCCUGUGUAGCUAUAUAUAUGUAGUCAUUACUGAAAAGUGUAAAUAAAGAAUCCUUUUAGUGGUGUAGUUUCCCUAGGUACCUACUGUGCUCUUAUUAUCUAAAACAUACUCCCCAUCUGUAGUUCUGUUCUAUUAAAGGAUAAAGACAUAAGUAUGAAUUAAAAAUUAAAAUGCUUGUUGUAGAUUGGAGAGCAAGGUCUAUUAGAAUAUAUCUGGCGCUAGGCUCACAGUACAGUAGAUAGAUUACACUGAGCACCAGUUAAGCAAGAGGAUGAAAAAUGAGUGAUUUUCAUCAUUCAGUUAAAUAUAGUGCUAAGUGGUAUGCGCUAGCAUUAAAAGCAAAUUACUUAGCACUUCACCAAUCACAGCAUGAGAGCAUUCCAUUGGAAGCAGUAUUUCCAGUGAUGCUCAGUCCUCAGUUUUAUUAAAUAAAUCAGCUGUUAAUGCUUAAGGAAGCAGUUGAAGACGUAUUGCUAUGAUAAUAAAAAGAUUGGAAAUGUAAAAAUA
This is a long non-coding RNA of Chroicocephalus ridibundus (black-headed gull), 3265 nucleotides long. RefSeq lists it as uncharacterized. The transcript is spliced from 3 exons. NCBI's taxonomy places the organism in Eukaryota, Metazoa, Chordata, Aves, Charadriiformes, Laridae. The record is from RefSeq and is a predicted model, not a curated record.